RNAcentral lists this ribosomal RNA (494 nucleotides) under Sulfitobacter pontiacus. Its description in RNAcentral is "bacterial SSU rRNA". It matches the Rfam family "Bacterial small subunit ribosomal RNA", at positions 394 to 906 of the family's 1533-position model. The record is from RNAcentral. Lineage: Bacteria; Pseudomonadati; Pseudomonadota; Alphaproteobacteria; Rhodobacterales; Roseobacteraceae.
AUGCCGCGUGUGUGAUGAAGGUCUUAGGAUCGUAAAGCACUUUCGCCAGGGAUGAUAAUGACAGUACCUGGUAAAGAAACCCCGGCUAACUCCGUGCCAGCAGCCGCGGUAAUACGGAGGGGGUUAGCGUUGUUCGGAAUUACUGGGCGUAAAGCGUACGUAGGCGGAUUGGAAAGUUGGGGGUGAAAUCCCAGGGCUCAACCCUGGAACUGCCUCCAAAACUAUCAGUCUAGAGUUCGAGAGAGGUGAGUGGAAUUCCGAGUGUAGAGGUGAAAUUCGUAGAUAUUUGGAGGAACACCAGUGGCGAAGGCGGCUCACUGGCUCGAUACUGACGCUGAGGUACGAAAGUGUGGGGAGCAAACAGGAUUAGAUACCCUGGUAGUCCACACCGUAAACGAUGAAUGCCAGUCGUCGGGCAGUAUACUGUUCGGUGACACACCUAACGGAUUAAGCAUUCCGCCUGGGGAGUACGGUCGCAAGAUUAAAACUCAAAG